UGGAGUAUUCUAAGGUGAAGUGGUA
Molecule: non-coding RNA, 25 nt
Filed under: Rattus norvegicus (Norway rat)
Lineage: Eukaryota; Metazoa; Chordata; Mammalia; Rodentia; Muridae
Source: RNAcentral